This 925-nucleotide long non-coding RNA is filed under the name Homo sapiens (human). RNAcentral describes it as "HSALNT0065941". Lineage: Eukaryota; Metazoa; Chordata; Mammalia; Primates; Hominidae. The record is from RNAcentral.
GGGACUGUUGUGGGGUGGCAGGGGGGGAGGGAUAGCAGUGGGAGAUAUACGUAAUGCUAGAUGACAAGUUAGUGGGUGCAGCACACCAGCAUGGCACAUGUAUAUGUAUGUAACUAACCUGCACAAUGUGCACAUGUACCCUAAAACUUAAAGUAUAAUAAUAAAUAAAUAAAUAAAUAAAAAAUUACCUAAAAAAAAAGUACCAAUUCAUCAAGAAAACAUAAAACAUGAUCCUAAGUGUGUAUGCACCUAAAUACACGACUUCUAAAUACACUAAACAAAAACCGAGAGAAUUGAAAGAAGGAAAAAAAUCCACAAUUACAGUUGGAAAUUUCAAAACUCCUCUCUCAGGAAUAAAUAGAACAAGAAGGCAACAUCUAAUAAGGAGAUAGUCUUGAGCAACACUAUCAAUCAACUUGCCCAAUGGACAUUUAUAGAAGACUUUACCCAACAACUGCAGUAUACAGGUUUUCUUCAAGUACACAUGAAACAUUUGUCAAGAGAAGCCAUAUGGUCAGAUGGAUAAUGUGCUGAUGUCCUCUUUGACAUCCUUAAGUGGAAAUCAGCCGUGCCUUUUGGCCUCAGCUGAGGCAGCGGGGGUCAAACAGCUACUCCUCUCACUCCUGCAGAAGGGGUGUAAAAUCGCUUCCGGCUCUGCCGUCUGAUGAAUCUGUCCUUCCGAACCUCCAGAGGCUUCUCUGUCUCUGCCCUUUUGGCCUGAGGUUGUUCAGAGGGCAUUAUCCUCUAAACUGAAAGUGUCUGAAUUCACUGAGGGCGAAAAUGUGGUGUGUAGAUGGGGCAGAGAACAUGAAAGGAGGUUCAGGAAAGGCCAGAGAUUACAUUUAGCAUUCCUGAAAGCCCCUUUUGGCCUUUGGCAACAAUUAAUGAUCAACACAUGGAAAAAGCCUUUUCCAUUUCAAGGGAU